GCCAGACUCCUACGGGAGGCAGCAGUGGGGGAUAUUGCACAAUGGGGGAAACCCUGAUGCAGCGACGCCGCGUGAGUGAAGAAGUAUUUCGGUAUGUAAAGCUCUAUCAGCAGGGAAGAAAAAAGACGGUACCUGACUAAGAAGCCCCGGCUAACUACGUGCCAGCAGCCGCGGUAAUACGUAGGGGGCAAGCGUUAUCCGGAUUUACUGGGUGUAAAGGGAGCGUAGACGGCAAUACAAGUCGGAAGUGAAAUACCCGGGCUUAACCUGGGAACUGCUUUGGAAACUGUAUGGCUGGAGUGCUGGAGAGGUAAGCGGAAUUCCUAGUGUAGCGGUGAAAUGCGUAGAUAUUAGGAGGAACACCAGUGGCGAAGGCGGCUUACUGGACAGUAACUGACGUUGAGGCUCGAAAGCGUGGGGAGCAAACAGGAUUAGAUACCCUAGUAC
This 447-nucleotide ribosomal RNA is filed under the name uncultured bacterium. RNAcentral describes it as "bacterial SSU rRNA". It matches the Rfam family "Bacterial small subunit ribosomal RNA", at positions 330 to 793 of the family's 1533-position model. The record is from RNAcentral.